Long non-coding RNA from Neofelis nebulosa (Clouded leopard), 1367 nucleotides. RefSeq lists it as uncharacterized. The transcript is spliced from 4 exons. Lineage: Eukaryota; Metazoa; Chordata; Mammalia; Carnivora; Felidae. The record is from RefSeq and is a predicted model, not a curated record.
UGAACGGGAUCAGUGCCUUUAUAAAAGCGACCUCAGAGGGUCCUUCAGCCCUUGUACCGCGCGAGGGCACAGCGACAAGACCCUCAGAAGGAAGCCGGCCCCUCACCAGACACCGGAUCUGCAGCAUCUGGGUCACCUUGACGGUGGACUUCCCAGCCUCCAGAGCCGUGAGAAACUAACUUUUGUUGUUCAAUUCUUCAUGUUUGAUAUGGUGAAGUUUUCAACAGCUUGAAGUCACAUUUCGAGACCAGGAAUUAUCCCUGGAGAGCAGAGAGCACAUUGGGUCAUAAUGGCCAUAGAGGGAUAUUGGACUCCUUACAGCAUUUCAGAUCACAAGAAAUGCAGAGCUGCUCUGAAGACCCCGGUAGGGCCCAGAGGUGCCCCAGUCAGCAAUACCAUGAGAGUUCUCAUGGCAACUUGUAAACUUACCUAUGUUGUACAAGGAGGAGAGAUGCUUUAGUGUCCAGUUGGGAAGGAAAAAGAACCCUGGAUCCAGAGUCAUAAGGGGAAAAGAACUGCUCUUUCCAGCAAAGACAAGUUCAUGCACAUCUCUUUUUUUUUUUUUUUUUUUCUGCUCUGUCUCCAUUUGGGUGGGCUUCCUCCAAAGAAUCAUAAAAAAAUAAGCUAUGUUUUAGAAUCUCAUUCUUCUUGAGGGAAGACCAGAAAACUCUCUCUCUAGCUCUGGACUAAUCUGCCUCAAUGUAGCUGAGGAAAUCUGGACUUCCUCAGCAGCCAGCAUUGUUCAAAAUAGACCAUCCUUGCUUUGGGUCAUACGACUCAAGUCUCAGGUAUGUGCUUCACUUCUCGAUUCUGGAUUGCCUGUCACCUACAACAAAGAAAUCGAUUUUAUCUAGCCAAAUUCAUGAGAGUUCUAUAUAAGGUUUUGUCAGUAAAGGUGAGUGUUUAUGUAAAGCAUUAUUUUUCUCACUCUUAUCCUGUGGAAAUAUUUAUCUGAGUAACCUCACGUGUAGAAGUGUAUUAUUGGGGAGAGAAUUGGGAUCCUUUCAUCCUUCCUAUUGACACAAUUAACUUCUUUGGUGCUGCUUAGAAUUUUUCAGGGUGCGUUCUGCUCACCAGAAACUAGGUUACAACACAAAAUUUGUAUCAAUUUAAAGAGAGAGCCAAAGUUCUGGGCAUGUUCUAUUUAAAGAUAUCCUGGGGCACCUGGGUGGCUCAGUCGGUUAAGCAUCUGACUAUUGAUUUUGGCUCAGAUCAUGAUUUCACGGUUUGUGAGCUCAAGCCCCAUGUUGGACUCUGUGCUGAGAUUCUCUCUCUCCCUCUCUCUUUCUCUCUACCCCUACCUCACACUCUCUGUCUCAAAAAUGAAUAAACUUAAAAAAAAAUAAAGAUAUCCUGCUGUAAAAUUA